ACGCUAGCGAUAGGCUUAACACAUGCAAGUCGAGGGGCAGCAUGGUCUUAGCUUGCUAAGACUGAUGGCGACCGGCGCACGGGUGCGUAACGCGUAUGCAACUUGCCUCACAGAGGGGGAUAACCCGUCGAAAGACGGACUAAUACCGCGUACACUCUAUGUUGGGCAUCCAAUGUAGAGGAAAUGAACUUCGCUGUGAGAUAGGCAUGCGUCCCAUUAGCUAGUUGGUGAGGUAACGGCUCACCAAGGCGACGAUGGGUAGGGGAACUGAGAGGUUGAACCCCCACACUGGUACUGAGACACGGACCAGACUCCUACGGGAGGCAGUAGUGAGGAAUAUUGGUCAAUGGGCGAGAGCCUGAACCAGCCAAGUCGCGUGAAGGAUGACUGUCUUAUGGAUUGUAAACUUCUUUUAUACGGGAAUAACAAGAGUCACGUGUGGCUCCCUGCAUGUACCGUAUGAAUAAGCAUCGGCUAACUCCGUGCCAGCAGCCGCGGUAAUACGGAGGAUGCGAGCGUUAUCCGAAUUUAUUGGGUUUAAAGGGUGCGUAGGCGGCCUGUUAAGUCAGCGGUGAAAUCUAGGAGCUUAACUCCUAAAUUGCCAUUGAUACUGGCGGGCUUGAGUGUAGAUGAGGUAGGCGGAAUGCGUGGUGUAGCGGUGGAAUGCAUAGAUAUCACGCAGAACUCCGAUUGCGAAGGCAGCUUACUAAGGUACAACUGACGCUGAAGCACGAAAGCGUGGGUAUCAAACAGGAUUAGAUACCCUGGUAGUCCACGCAGUAAACGAUGAUAACUGGGCGUAUGCGAUAUACAGUAUGCUCCUAAGCGAAAGCGUUAAGUUAUCCACCUGGGGAGUACGCCGGCAACGGUGAAACUCAAAGGAAUUGACGGGGGCCCGCACAAGCGGAGGAACAUGUGGUUUAAUU
Molecule: ribosomal RNA, 926 nt
Filed under: uncultured bacterium
Lineage: Bacteria
Description: bacterial SSU rRNA
Rfam family: Bacterial small subunit ribosomal RNA
Source: RNAcentral